CCGAUAGAGAAGUGCAUCAGUGAAACUGUCAGCAAUUCAGCCUCCUGCCAGCACAGAAGCAGCCAGUGCCUGUGCCUGCAUCCCUGAGAUGGUACCUGGAGAAGAAUGAUCUUCCCAAAAGCACCAGGAAAGGAAAUCAGCAUCAGAGGCUGAUGUUUCUUUUUACUUAACGCUGGUGUGCCUGUGAAACUGAGUGAGGAGCAUUCAGUGUUAGAGGUACUGGAUCAUGGCUGUCACAGUUUGGUAGUAGUGCUUUGAUGGAAAUAAUGUGAGGAAAACCUGAAGAGGCGUUGUCCAAACGUCGCAGCUGUCGCGGUACUCCCAGCUCCGAGAGCACAUUCCAGGCUGUGCGGUGACUGGCUCCCUGUGCCUGCAGUGUGGCGCUCGCGGCGCCAGGGGACGCGACGCGGGGACGGGCAGCGCCACGGCUCGGGGCCGGCAGGCCGCGGCAGUCCCUGUCCUGGGGGAUAUUUUAAUGAUCCUGAAGAACGAGAAGGGGAGCAACCAGCAAUAGUUUACAGUACUUACUUUACAGAAGUACUUUCACACGUUCUUGUAUUCUUUUUCGUCAGCUUCCGUUCUUCCCCUGGCACUGCAUUUGAUAUAGUAAAGGCCGGGCCAGCUUCUUUUCCCUUGUAGCCCAUGUUAAAAUGCACGUGAUUCUGGGGUUUGGGAUAAAGUGUGGCAGGGAGGUGCUUCAUCCACUGUCCACUGAGCUACCUUAGUUGAAACAAAUAGGACUUUUUUGUCAUCUCCUCUUGUAUCGCAGCAAAUUCCAUGUCUUUUAUAGUCUUUCUUCCGUUGAGCAUUUUGAAAGCCACUUCUGGUUUGCUCUUCUAGACAGAGAAAUAGGUGCACAGAAUCAGUUAUUAAGGGAGAACUUUUUAUCAAGGUUUCAAGCUAUGGUCGCUUUCUCAUUUUUGUAAAACUUGUGGAAAAUUUCAAUAUCUCAAUCACACUGAGUUAUAUCUAGACAAUCAAUUCAAAGUUAAAGGGUGAGUCGGGGACACUGAAAAUUCAUCAUUACAUAAACUGAAGAAACCAAGCUAAGAAUAGCCCUCAGUGCAGUAGGAUCAAGCAGAGCCUCAAUUAUGUAUGCAUAAAAGUCUGUCUGUAUGAAACCUAUUUUGUGACUACUUCAUGGUGAAUAUGGUAGGAGUAAUAGACAAAAACAGAAGGGCUGAUAAUAGAAAAAAAAAAGAAAGAUUGGUGUCACCUUUAUUUUUAUAUCUUUUCAAAACUGGACUGUUACAGCAAAGUUGUCAGUGUAAUUCUUUAUGGCAAGUUGUCUUUCUUAAAUAAAUGAGCUGUAAGCUAACAAUUACAGAUGUGAAAAAAGAAAAACUACAUUAACUACAUGAGCAAUACGGUAUUUUUUCUGCUAUUAGUGUAAACUGAACUGAAUGCAGGCCAUAAACAUACUGCACCUCUAGCAAUUUUUUCUCUUGAAUGUAUGUAACUGUUAAUGUACACUGAAGCAGAGGAUCAAAACCCAUUCAAAUGUAGUGUUUCUGUAUCCCAAAUCUGUUCUGUCUUUCAUGUGUGGUUAUACAUGUGAGUUUGUAUGAGAAAUACUUUUCUAGGAUAAAAAUUCACAAUUUGGAAGUGAUGAAAAUAGCAAAUUUACAUUUGUUCUCCAUCAAAAUAAUGCACACAGUGAUAAAACAAAUUUGCCCAAUCCUGAAAUCAACAAGCACCAUGAAUUUAAGAUUUUCUCUGGUAAAGAUAUUCUAAGCAUUGAUACCACAAAGACAAUAAAUCAAAUGUUAGAGCAUUUGUAUUCAAAUGAAUUGGCAAGGAACAUACUGCCAUGGGAAAAAGCAAAAUAUUCAGACUGUCUGCUGUCCUCUAUACUGUAGUGAGACUAAAACUAAAUUUUAUUUCAAAGGUGAUGCCUGUGUGUCUAAUCUUCCUGUCAUCUGCCUAUCUCAUGUUCAUCGUUGCAACAGAAAGGCAGGCAUUACGUAGUACUUCAGACUCAGUAAAAUAAAAGGGUGUAUGACAUCCCACUCACACAAUGACUUUUUCCAAUAACAUGAAGUCUGUGGGUUGAGCCACAGGCAAUAACCCACAGUGCCAUAACCAGAACUUGUACACUGCUUCUGUCCCAAUCCUAGCCUGCUUAUCCUGCUGCUCUGACAGGAAUUUGAGUGACUUCUCCCACAUGCCAGCAGUCCAAAAUAUAUAUUUGAUAUUCUUAGGGCAACAUAAGUACUAUAAAAAUGCGUAGUUUCUUUGCUAUAUGGAGCUUAUGCAUUGUCUUCAUAGAAAUUUCUACACUGUACAAUAGACGUGACUGUGCUUGAAAUGAUGAUGGGCAGCAAACUGGUACACUAGGACAGGGAUAGCUUUUCUGAAGCUAAAAUAAGGUGUUAGUCACUGUCAUUGUUGUGCAAGUGCAGCUAAGAGAUAAAUAGGGUUUCCACCACUUUGAUGGAGAGGAGCUUCAUAGCUCCUGCAAUUUGGCAAAGCUGGUUGGGUAAACAGUACUACUGUUCUUUGUCUUUUUUCCCCAGUUUUGUUAUCUAAGCACUGCUAGAAGACUAACUGAGAGCAGGGCCCCUUUCUUCUGUGUGGUGGUAGAGAACCCUUGCGUCAGUGAAGUCUUUGAGAUUUUAACCAAAGUAACUUUGGGUUUAUCCAUCUUUUGCUGGGUAAUAAUAAGAUGUACUAACUUCAGUGUAUUAUCAGAACAUAUCCUUUAAGCAGCAGACCAUGUUUUAAAGAAAAUCUGUCCCUUGUAGAAGAAACUGUUUUGGUAAAAAAAAAAUCAGAUGGAAACUUCAAUUUUAGCUGAAAGUGCAGCAGCAAAUUUAGUGGAGGAGUUGAGACAGUUGCUGUUCCAGUAGUGACACUGAGCGGUAGCAAGCAUAUGCUACAAGUAGGAUAAUGGCAAUGGUGAGAGAUGGCUGUGUCUGUACUGGAGAUGCAUUUGGUCCUGAAAAUGGCACGUUUUUGAAAUGAAUCUUCUAAGCAGCUGUUAAAUUAAAAAAAAAAAAAAAGCCUCUGACAAAUCUCUUACUUAAAAUUAAAGCUAGUUGGAUUCAUAACAAUGUAACUAGUAAAAAUAUUCUUCUUAAGACA
Vidua chalybeata is the source of this 3084-nucleotide long non-coding RNA. RefSeq lists it as uncharacterized. NCBI's taxonomy places the organism in Eukaryota, Metazoa, Chordata, Aves, Passeriformes, Viduidae. The record is from RefSeq and is a predicted model, not a curated record. The transcript is spliced from 2 exons.